RNAcentral lists this ribosomal RNA (247 nucleotides) under uncultured bacterium. RNAcentral describes it as "partial 16S ribosomal RNA". It matches the Rfam family "Bacterial small subunit ribosomal RNA", at positions 523 to 769 of the family's 1533-position model. The record is from RNAcentral.
AUACGGAGGGUGCAAGCGUUGUUCGGAUUUAUUGGGCGUAAAGCGCGUGUAGGCGGUUUGGUAAGUCUGAUGUGAAAGCCCCGGGCUCAACCUGGGAAGUGCAUUGGAAACUGUCAGACUUGAAUACGGGAGAGGGUAGUGGAAUUCCUAGUGUAGGAGUGAAAUCCGUAGAUAUUAGGAGGAACACCGGUGGCGAAGGCGGCUACCUGGACCGAUAUUGACGCUGAGACGCGAAAGCGUGGGUAGC